Molecule: unclassified non-coding RNA, 390 nt
Filed under: soil metagenome
Description: partial contains 5.8S ribosomal RNA, internal transcribed spacer 2, and large subunit ribosomal RNA
Rfam family: 5.8S ribosomal RNA (bases 1-122)
Source: RNAcentral
GAUGAAGAACGUAGUGAAAUGCGAUACUUGGUGUGAAUUGCAGAAUCCCGUGAACCAUCGAGUCUUUGAACGCAAGUUGCGCCCGAAGCCAUUAGGCCGAGGGCACGCCUGCCUGGGUGUCACACGUCGUUGCCCCCCCAUCUACUCCUUCGGGAUUGCGGGGGGCGGAUGAUGGCCUCCCGUGCGCCUCGUCGCGCGGUUGGCAUAAAUGCCAAGUCCUCGGCGACGCACGCCACGACAAUCGGUGGUUGCGAAACCUCGGUUGCCCGUCGUGUGCGGUCGUCGCGCAUCGAGGGCUCGAAAAAAUUGCCGGGCUCCGGCUCGGCUUUCAACGCGACCCCAGGUCAGGCGGGGUUACUCGCUGAAUUUAAGCAUAUCAUAAGCGGAGGA